ACUGUGGAGGUACUUGGUUCACAUACGUGAAAGAAUGGGCUAAUGCUAAGAGGACGAACCGGGACCUGGACAUCCUUACACUGCAAUAUGAAGACCUGGUUCAGAAUUUAUACUCCAAUGUCGUUGACUUAGCUAGAUUCCUAAAAGUAGAACACGAUGAUGCCUUUCUGAGACAAGUGGUGGAGGCUGUGUCGUUCGAUAACCUCAAGACGAGUCAUGCUACAGGCAGAGGGGCCAAAGAUACGUGGAAGGAUUGGACCAGUGACGGCAUAUUACCAAUUUAUCGAAAAGGAAAGGUUGGUGACUGGAGGAGGACACUGACAGUUGCCCAAAAUAUAAAAUUUGACAACGUAUAUCAGG
This is a long non-coding RNA of Mizuhopecten yessoensis (Yesso scallop), 360 nucleotides long. RefSeq lists it as uncharacterized. NCBI's taxonomy places the organism in Eukaryota, Metazoa, Mollusca, Bivalvia, Pectinida, Pectinidae. The record is from RefSeq and is a predicted model, not a curated record. The transcript has 3 exons.